AAAAGAUAGUUUAAGGUAAAAUGUUGGCUUUGGGGGCCAAAGAUGGGCUUGUGAUGUCCAUUUUUG
RNAcentral lists this transfer RNA (66 nucleotides) under Leiolepis rubritaeniata. RNAcentral's name for it is "tRNA-Pro". The record is from RNAcentral. Lineage: Eukaryota; Metazoa; Chordata; Lepidosauria; Squamata; Agamidae.